This 482-nucleotide ribosomal RNA is filed under the name uncultured bacterium. RNAcentral describes it as "partial 16S ribosomal RNA". It matches the Rfam family "Bacterial small subunit ribosomal RNA", at positions 30 to 507 of the family's 1533-position model. The record is from RNAcentral.
AUUGAACGCUGGCGGCAUGCUCUACACAUGCAAGUCGAACGGUAACAGGCCGCAAGGUGCUGACGAGUGGCGAACGGGUGAGUAAUGCAUCGGAACGUGCCCAGUCGUGGGGGAUAACUACUCGAAAGAGUAGCUAAUACCGCAUACGAUCUAUGGAUGAAAGCGGGGGACCGUAAGGCCUCGCGCGAUUGGAGCGGCCGAUGUCAGAUUAGGUAGUUGGUGGGGUAAAGGCUCACCAAGCCAACGAUCUGUAGCUGGUCUGAGAGGACGACCAGCCACACUGGGACUGAGACACGGCCCAGACUCCUACGGGAGGCAGCAGUGGGGAAUUUUGGACAAUGGGCGCAAGCCUGAUCCAGCAACGCCGCGUGCAGGAAGAAGGCCUUCGGGUUGUAAACUGCUUUUGUACGGAACGAAACGGCUCUGGUUAAUACCCGGGGCUAAUGACGGUACCGUAAGAAUAAGCACCGGCUAACUACGUG